Molecule: long non-coding RNA, 556 nt
Filed under: Pan troglodytes (chimpanzee)
Lineage: Eukaryota; Metazoa; Chordata; Mammalia; Primates; Hominidae
Description: long non-coding RNA NONPTRT009766
Source: RNAcentral
CACACACAGAGCCCCCAACACAUACACCAGAGCCUCCAACACACAUACCACAGCCCUCCACGCACACACCAGAGCCCCCAAUACACACACACUGAGCUCCCAACACAUACACCAGAGCCCCCAACAUACACACCAGAGCCCCCAACACACACACCAGAGCCCCCAACACACACACCACAGCCAACACACACACACCAGAGCCUCCAACACAUAUACACACACGAGAGCCCCCAACACUCAUACACACCAGAGCCUCCAACACAUACACACCAGAGCCCCCAACAGACACACACACACACCAGAGCCCCCAACACACACACCAGAGCCAACACACAUACACCAGAGCCCUUCAACACACACAGAGCCAACACAUACACCAGAGCCUCCAACACAUACACACCAGAGCCCCCAACACACACACACACACACACACACACACACACCAGAGCCAACACACACACACCAGAGCCCUUCAACACACACAGAGCCAACACAUACACCAGAGCCUCCAACACACACACGAGCCCCCAACAUACACACCAGAGCCCCCCAACAC